RNAcentral lists this long non-coding RNA (608 nucleotides) under Marmota monax (woodchuck). The record is from RNAcentral. Lineage: Eukaryota; Metazoa; Chordata; Mammalia; Rodentia; Sciuridae.
AGAGAGCCUACAGAAUAGGAGAAAAUCUUCACCACAUGCACCUCAGAGCAUUAUUCUCCAGGAUAUAUGCAGAUCUCAAAAAACAUGACACCAAAAAAAACAAAUAACCAAAUCAAUAAAUGGGCUAAGGAACUAACAGACACUUCACAGAAGAAGCAACAAAUACAUGAAAAAUGUUCAAUAUUUAGCUAUUAGUAGAAAGCAAAUCAAAACUUCUCCAAGAUUUUAUCCCACCCCAGUCGACAAACAUGGUUAUCAAGAAUACAAUCAUCAAGUAACAAUAAAUGUUAGGGAGGAUGUGGGGAAAAGGGUGCACGCACACAUUGCUUGUGUGACUGCAAAUUGAGGCAACCAUUAUGGAAAGCAGUAUGGAAAUUCCUCAGAAAACGUGGACUGGAACCAACAUCUGACACAGCUCUCCCUUUCCUCAUUUUAUAACCAAACGACUUAAAACCAGCAUAUUACAAUGACACAGUCACAUUAUGUUUACAGCAGCUCAAUUCAUAAUAGAUAAACUAUGGAACUAACCUAGGUGUCUUUCAACAGAUAAAUGAAUAAAGAAAAUGUGGUGUGUAUGAGUAUAGAUAUACAUAUGUGUGUAUGUGUGU